Molecule: ribosomal RNA, 253 nt
Filed under: uncultured bacterium
Lineage: Bacteria
Description: partial 16S ribosomal RNA
Rfam family: Bacterial small subunit ribosomal RNA
Source: RNAcentral
UACAGAGGUCUCAAGCGUUGUUCGGAUUCAUUGGGCGUAAAGGGUGCGUAGGCGGCGCGGUAAGUCGGGUGUGAAAUCUCGGGGCUUAACUCCGAAACUGCAUUCGAUACUGCCGUGCUUGAGGACUGGAGAGGAGACUGGAAUUUACGGUGUAGCGGUGAAAUGCGUAGAGAUCGUAAGGAAGACCAGUGGCGAAGGCGAGUUUCUGGACAGAUACUGACGCUGAGGCACGAAGGCCAGGGGAGCAAACGGG